This 440-nucleotide ribosomal RNA is filed under the name uncultured bacterium. RNAcentral's name for it is "bacterial SSU rRNA". It matches the Rfam family "Bacterial small subunit ribosomal RNA", at positions 338 to 795 of the family's 1533-position model. The record is from RNAcentral.
CCUANGGGAGGCAGCAGUGGGGAAUAUUGCGCAAUGGGGGAAACCCUGACGCAGCGACGCCGCGUGGAGGAUGAAGGCCUUCGGGUUGUAAACUCCUUUUGUAGGGGAAGAUAAUGACGGUACCCUGCGAAUAAGCCACGGCUAACUCUGUGCCAGCAGCCGCGGUAAGACAGAGGUGGCGAGCGUUGUUCGGAAUUACUGGGCUUAAAGGGCGAGUAGGCGGUGGAGCAAGUCUGAGGUGGAAGCCUACGGCUUAACCGUAGAACUGCCUUAGAAACUGUUUUACUUGAGUCAGUGAGGGGAGGGCGGAAUUCCUGGUGUAGCGGUGAAAUGCGUAGAUAUCAGGAGGAAGGCCUGUGGCGAAAGUGGCCCUCUGGCACUGUACUGACGCUGAGGCGCGAAAGCGUGGGGAGCAAACAGGAUUAGAUACCCCANUANUC